UACGGGCCUUUUUAGCAUUAGCAUAUAUUGGCAUCCAUCUGCUCUGGAAGUAGCAAGAUGAUAUGAAGGCAACAACAAGGUAUUGCCCCCAGUUAUGGGAACCAGAAGCAGGAAAACAAAUGAAAAAUGAUUUGCUAAACCUGAAGACGCCGUGGCUUGUUUUUCCUUGUCCCGCCAUGAUAAAUAUCUCAUCUCAGCAUCUGGAGAUUUAGUUUCCGGGUUCAGCAUGAAAACCUUUGAGGUAUUCUAACAAAACAAACCAACGGAUGCUUGGAAGUUCUUUAACCGUCCUCUGGUUAAUAUGAGUGAUAUUAAUUAAAUGUAAUAACACAAUUGAAUCGAGUGUUCUUUAUUGUUGCAUUCAAAGAUACCUUAUUUUGUUUGGGUUAGACUGACCACUCCCAAAUGUUUGAUAAAAAUCACAGAAUUUAGAAUCUUCCAUGGGUCCACCACCUGCUGCAACAUGUCUGUUUCCACCCUCAAGACAAGUUUCCCAUUUUUAUCGGCAGGGAUGAUUCCAAAAUUCUGAUACAUACACGCCGAAAGGAGGUAUGAUAUAUAAGCAAGCUGUGAUAUUAUUGUUGAAGAGAAAAUCUAGAAUGCCAGUUUCGAAUAGGGAAGAAAAAAAAAAAGCAACAAAAAAAGUACUUUAUUUUUUGUAGGAUGAAAGCGAGAUUGCAGGUGUUCACUCCUGAAGAAUCACUGGCCUAACCUUUUCCACUAAGCUGAAUGCACUUAUUUCUUCCGCAGCAGAUGCUGAGAUUACAGCCUGGAAGCUCAGAAAUUCUAGAGUUGUACUGAAGGGUAGCUUGGAGUUUCCAGGUGAGAACAGUUUCACAAAGAUCAGCUACACUUUCUCGCUGUAAAUGAAAGGCGAUUCGCCAUAUGUAAAAUAACAGAGCUAAAGUGGAGAUCAAUGGCAUUUUCAUUACAGAGAACAUGAUUUAAACAUCUAUAUUGCAUGACAUGUAAACUGUUUUGUGGUGGACUUGGCUCAAUUCCUAUCAUUUUUAUUUUCAAGUUGACCUAGUAAUGGGGCUUGGGAAUAUAGGGGGUUUUCCGGGAGAGGUACCAGUUUCUAGAUUAUCUGAUGCUUUUUUGUUUCAUGUGAUGCCCUGUUGGUGUACAUUGCCCUUCGGCAUGGACAUGUUAGCAUAUGUUCUGCUCCAGGCCUCCAACCACAACAUGAAAUUUAUCGCAGUGCUUAUCUUUCAUCCGAUGCCAGUUUGCAAGCAGUUGUGAUUGCUUCACAUCCACAGGAACCUAACCAGUUUGCAUUAGGAUUCACAGAUGGCAGGGUUAUUGUGGUUGAGCCACUUGAUGAAGAAGAAGUUGGUUCUCGUUAGAUCUUUUACUGUCAGUUUUAUGUAGAAAGAAAGAUUAUAUGUAGAGUUUAUUAUACUGGCAUAGGCCAAAAUAUUUGUGACCCUAAUAUAUGUAUGUCGAAUUUUGUGGUAUUCUAUACUAAUGUUCUGAUCAAUUGUCUGUUCA
Molecule: long non-coding RNA, 1491 nt
Organism: Camellia sinensis
Lineage: Eukaryota; Viridiplantae; Streptophyta; Magnoliopsida; Ericales; Theaceae
Source: RefSeq, a predicted model, not a curated record